GUUCCUUCUCCUGUUGAGCCUUUUCGCUUUCCCAUUGCAGUCGUUCUUGACUCAGCUUCUCCUGGAUGUUUCUCAACUCUUCCAGUUGGUGAUCAGAUACAUACACACUGUAGCAAUAUAUGAGUUUUCAGAAGGAGUGGUAACCCAGAAUGACUGGCACAGGUUUCCUGACAACUCUUUGAGUUAUCUGGAGUUGUUUCUACAUUCAAAAAAUUAUCAACUGAUCAGUGCUGAAAUCUUUGACUGUCCUGCUUCAACGUGUGUUACAGCCCACCAGCCUUGAAAGUUUGCCAUUCAUCAUGUUCGAGCCAAGUGAAAGCUAUAAACAACAGUCUCAUAUCAGUACUUAAAUGAACCUCCUCAAACGUUCAAAAAGCUGCCAUUUCAACCAGUCUCUAAUAUUAACCCUUUGCACUCGAGUGGUGCCUCUCAGGCACCACUGCAUGUGAUGCGAUAACUCGAGCGGUGCCUGAGAGGCACCAUUCGAAUCGAUGUGUUUAUUUGUGUUUGACCUAAGGAAUAUCACUUGAGAGAUCUACUUGGCCUUUUGUAGAUCAUAUUACGAGGUGUUUGUAUAGCUAUAAGGUUGUCUUAUCUCAAAUAAAGUUUGUCUUUGCAAUGCUUAUGCGAUUAAAUGUCUUAUCUCAAAAAUACUUGCGACCACGGGUAAGACUCUGUCUUCGACAUCAGUUUGAACUCAACCUUCUUGCUGAUCGCAGUAGUCCUUUCAAAGUUACUGAGCCCAAUAAGUAUGGAACACGACGAAGAAGUUACUUCUAGUGAAGAUGAGUUUAAUUUUUCGGCAAUAACGAACGAAAUUACAUCACUACAUAGACAGCUUGCCCAUGAGAACGAAGACAGAAAUGAUAAAGAUAGUGACGACGUUAGAGGAGCAAGAAGACAAAAAAUCCGAAUAAUUGAUAGUGAAUCUGGAAGCCAAAGUGAUUGUACAGAACAGACUGAACCUUCAGAAUGGAGAGUGUGCACAGAAAAGCGCCUCAAGCGCAAAGGGUUAACAUAUGUUCAUACAGCCAAUUGUGAUUGUCUGUAAUAAAUAAUAGAUAACUGCAUCACAGUGAUUUUCAGCCAGUCAAUUAUGCUUCUGAAAAUUGUACAUUGUGUGCUUAACUUUUGGAUGCUAGUGUAUACCUUAAUUUUGUAUUUAUCCUGAAAAUGAGCUAAUAAACCUAAUUUACAAGCGA
Stegodyphus dumicola is the source of this 1202-nucleotide long non-coding RNA. Lineage: Eukaryota; Metazoa; Arthropoda; Arachnida; Araneae; Eresidae. The record is from RefSeq and is a predicted model, not a curated record.